ACAGUCGAACGAUGAUGCCCAGCUUGCUGGGUGGAUUAGUGGCGAACGGGUGAGUAACACGUGAGUAACCUGCCCCUGACUCUGGGAUAAGCGUUGGAAACGACGUCUAAUACUGGAUAUGACUGCCGGCCGCAUGGUCUGGUGGUGGAAAGAUUUUUUGGUUGGGGAUGGACUCGCGGCCUAUCAGCUUGUUGGUGAGGUAAUGGCUCACCAAGGCGACGACGGGUAGCCGGCCUGAGAGGGUGACCGGCCACACUGGGACUGAGACACGGCCCAGACUCCUACGGGAGGCAGCAGUGGGGAAUAUUGCACAAUGGGCGAAAGCCUGAUGCAGCAACGCCGCGUGAGGGAUGACGGCCUUCGGGUUGUAAACCUCUUUUAGUAGGGAAGAAGCGUAAGUGACGGUACCUGCAGAAAAAGCACCGGCUAACUACGUGCCAGCAGCCGCGGUAAUACGUAGGGUGCAAGCGUUGUCCGGAAUUAUUGGGCGUAAAGAGCUCGUAGGCGGUUUGUCGCGUCUGCUGUGAAAUCCCGAGGCUCAACCUCGGGCUUGCAGUGGGUACGGGCAGACUAGAGUGCGGUAGGGGAGAUUGGAAUUCCUGGUGUAGCGGUGGAAUGCGCAGAUAUCAGGAGGAACACCGAUGGCGAAGGCAGAUCUCUGGGCCGUAACUGACGCUGAGGAGCGAAAGCGUGGGGAGCGAACAGGAUUAGAUACCCUGGUAGUCCACGCCGUAAACGUUGGGCGCUAGAUGUAGGGACCUUUCCACGGUUUCUGUGUCGUAGCUAACGCAUUAAGCGCCCCGCCUGGGGGAGUACGGCCGCAAGGCUAAAACUCAAAGGAAUUGACGGGGGCCCGCACAAGCGGCGGAGCAUGCGGAUUAAUUCGAUGCAACGCGAAGAACCUUACCAAGGCUUGACAUACACCGGAAACGGCCAGAGAUGGUUGCCCCCUUGUGGUCGGUGUACAGGUGGUGCAUGGUUGUCGUCAGCUCGUGUCGUGAGAUGUUGGGUUAAGUCCCGCAACGAGCGCAACCCUCGUUCUAUGUUGCCAGCGCGUUAUGGCGGGGACUCAUAGGAGACUGCCGGGGUCAACUCGGAGGAAGGUGGGGAUGACGUCAAAUCAUCAUGCCCCUUAUGUCUUGGGCUUCACGCAUGCUACAAUGGCCGGUACAAAGGGCUGCGAUACCGUAAGGUGGAGCGAAUCCCAAAAAGCCGGUCUCAGUUCGGAUUGAGGUCUGCAACUCGACCUCAUGAAGUCGGAGUCGCUAGUAAUCGCAGAUCAGCAACGCUGCGGUGAAUACGUUCCCGGGCCUUGUACACACCGCCCGUCAAGUCAUGAAAGUCGGUAACACCCGAAGCCGGUGGCCUAACCCUUGUG
RNAcentral lists this ribosomal RNA (1378 nucleotides) under unidentified. Its description in RNAcentral is "bacterial SSU rRNA". It matches the Rfam family "Bacterial small subunit ribosomal RNA". The record is from RNAcentral.